GCGAUGGCCGAGUGUUUAAGGUGUUGGACUCGAAAUCCAAUGGGGUUUCCCCCCCCGUUCAGGUACAAACCCUCGUGCCGCG
Ameiurus melas (black bullhead) is the source of this 82-nucleotide non-coding RNA. The record is from the annotation of a GenBank genome assembly. NCBI's taxonomy places the organism in Eukaryota, Metazoa, Chordata, Actinopteri, Siluriformes, Ictaluridae.